Molecule: unclassified non-coding RNA, 263 nt
Filed under: Hevea brasiliensis (rubber tree)
Lineage: Eukaryota; Viridiplantae; Streptophyta; Magnoliopsida; Malpighiales; Euphorbiaceae
Source: RNAcentral
AAAAUAUGUGUCUUGACUAAUUGCAAAAUGAACUUAUUAGUAUUUUGCUUCGCAAUUUUAGUUUGGGCUUUACACAAUUUUCUAGCCAAACUGUGACUUUUUUUUAUUAUCAUUAUUAAUUUAAUUUAAAAAAAGUAUGAAUUAUAGAUAACAAACUCAAUUUAGUUGUUAGCUAGCCAUCUCUCUAUCUUUUUGUGCAAUGGUUUUGGCUUCUAGACAAUGAAAGUAUGUACUUUUUUACUUUCUUUCAAGGAUAGUCAAAA